CCUUGGUUUUCAUCCCGAGCUCGAUAUGAAGUUUAGCGCUGCAAUGUAUCACUUUGUUCCUUGCUUGUAUUGGGGGAGACACGUUUAAUAUUCAGAAGAAGAAUGAAGCCAAUUGCAAGUAGCUUCUGGAAAUGGAGGAAUGGCAGAAAUCAGGACUACUCCCUUCCCAAGCCCAGCCUCUGGAACACAAGCCACCUGGCACUGGCCCUCCCUGGAUGGGAUCCAGGGAGCUCUGUUCUUCCGUUCAACAAAUAUAAAUGCCAACGACAUUCAGGACAGUUUGCUGAAUUCCAAAAUCUACAGUCAGGGUUCCUAUGCUCAAGAUACCUAACAUUCACCUUGGUGUUUGAAGAUUCCCCAAGAUGUGGGUUUGGGAAAUAGACGAAAGAAGAGGCCCACGAUCCCUGCGAUGGACCCAAACCAAAACCAAAUUAAUGAAACUUGAUCUGUAGAUGUGGGAUCUUUGUCUUUUAAUAUGUGAGCCUGUCCGAACACGUGUAAAUGAGGAUUAACAUGGAAUCAGAAGAAAACUUGGGAGUUCUCUAAUCGCCUAGUGGGUAAAGGCUCCUGCCUUUUCACUGCUGUGGCUCUGAUUGCUCCUGUGGCACAGGUUUGAGCCCUGGCCCAGAAACCUCCACAUGCUGUGGGUUCAGCAGAAGAGAAAAAUAAAUAAGAGCAACCCUGAACUUUGCAAUUCUCAUUAAAAAAAAAAA
This 713-nucleotide long non-coding RNA is filed under the name Sus scrofa (pig). RNAcentral's name for it is "lncRNA (ENSSSCG00040014172.1)". The record is from RNAcentral. Lineage: Eukaryota; Metazoa; Chordata; Mammalia; Artiodactyla; Suidae.